This 474-nucleotide ribosomal RNA is filed under the name uncultured bacterium. Its description in RNAcentral is "bacterial SSU rRNA". It matches the Rfam family "Bacterial small subunit ribosomal RNA", at positions 335 to 801 of the family's 1533-position model. The record is from RNAcentral.
ACUCCUACGGGAGGCAGCAGUAGGGAAUCUUCCACAAUGGGCGCAAGCCUGAUGGAGCAACGCCGCGUGAGUGAAGAAGGGUUUCGGCUCGUAAAGCUCUGUUGUUAAAGAAGAACACGUAUGAGAGUAACUGUUCAUACGUUGACGGUAUUUAACCAGAAAGUCACGGCUAACUACGUGCCAGCAGCCGCGGUAAUACGUAGGUGGCAAGCGUUAUCCGGAUUUAUUGGGGCGUAAAGAGAGUGCAGGCGGUUUUCUAAGUCUGAUGUGAAAGCCUUCGGCUUAACCGGAGAAGUGCAUCGGAAACUGGAUAACUUGAGUGCAGAAGAGGGUAGUGGAACUCCAUGUGUAGCGGUGGAAUGCGUAGAUAUAUGGAAGAACACCAGUGGCGAAGGCGGCUACCUGGCCUGCAACUGACGCUGAGACUCGAAAGCAUGGGUAGCGAACAGGAUUAGAUACCCUGGUAGGAUAGCG